RNAcentral lists this long non-coding RNA (2719 nucleotides) under Homo sapiens (human). Its description in RNAcentral is "HSALNT0353082". Lineage: Eukaryota; Metazoa; Chordata; Mammalia; Primates; Hominidae. The record is from RNAcentral.
UGUUUUGUUUCAGACACAAAAGCAAGUGACGCCUUGGAACCAGAUCAAAGAGGGCUCCAAGUGCAUGCUGCACAGAGCAGGCAGUGACCCUGGAAGGUUCGAUGUCCCUGGGAACAUUCCCACUUUAAGUUGGACAGACCUUGAAGCACAUCUGCGCCAGCAUUUGCACGUUCAUGUCUCCCUUACAUGCCUUUCCUCCUGUUUGUUUGAGCUUAACAGAAGGAAUGGCAGAAGUUUGCCCAAAUAAGGUACAUGGGCAGACACCUGAGGCUUUCAACACCUGUUUUAACAAAGAAGAAGAACCCAUCAAGUCAAUUUUUCUGAUCCAGCAAACAGCAUAGGUCUGGGAGUCAAAAAGCCUGGUAGCACAUAGCCUCUCAACUACUUAUUACCUUCCCUGACACAUUUGUCCAUCCUGGAUGUCCAUUGAUUCAUCAUAAAGGAUUGUCGAAAGAAUUAAAUGAGCCAGCGUAAAAGCAAUCAUUCUCUUUAUGAUCGCUCCUUCAAGUCAGACUCCAAGCCACUCGUAAAAGAAAGAAAAAAGCCUGGAAGGAGAGGCCUGCAGCAAAGUGAGGUGUCUCCUUUUAUGAGCAGUGCCCUGGGAUAGCUCCAAACCCAAAAGCUAAGUGCCCUGAAGACAGUCCCCAAAUAGGAUGUUAUAGAGAUGAAUGAAGCAAUGUUUCCAAGAUGCUUGGAGGUCUGGGAUGAAAAUCUGCUGAAACAGAGCAAAAAGCUAAGUCGUGAUCAGCCUUGCAUACAGCGGAAUGUAGAUCCUCGUCAUCGGAUUUGGACCCAGUGUAGACAGCACCUGAGCAUCAGUCAACUCCACCUUCUAAAGCCUGUGUUUAGCCACUGCAUCAAAAAGCAAAAGUACCAAUGGACAUUCUUCACCCUGGUUCAGCGUUUCUUCAGCCAAGUGCUUACUCAAGGAACCAAGAAUAAGAGAUAACAAUUUUUUAAAUAUGCAGAAACCCACCAAUAUGAAAAAAGAAGAUUGAAGGCCUUAUAAAAUAUAAAUGUUUCCUCACUGGUGACAGCCCUGCCACUAUUAAGCAUUGGUAUAUUAGUCCCCAAGACAUUUACUGCCAUCUGUUGGAAAAUUAGUAGAAUGAAUACAUUAAUCUAAGAUGACCACAAACAUACAUGUCAUCACAUAGUUUUGUGUAGUGUACAAUCUACAACAUACGAGGAUGCAAACCAAAAGUUUUGAGAAGGGAUAAUCAUGCUUAAAAUAAGCCCCACAGACAAUAUUAUUACCAUUAUUUUUCAUUGAUAAUGUAUUCAAUUAGAUAGUAGACAUUUGAGGAAAUGACAAAUAAGAAAGAUCUAAUUGUGACAUAAUUUAUUCAAUAAUUCAUUUAUACAGAAAAUAUUUAUCAAGUGUCUAUAAUGAGUCGAGCUUUAUUCUGGGAUCUAGUUAUAGAGCAAUGAAUAAAUAACACAGACAAAAUUAUCUCCCCUUACAGAGUUUCUGUGGGGAAAAACAAUAAAGUUUAGAUAAGUAUGUCAUUUAUGAGAUAGUAAUAAUUGCUAAAGACAAAAAGUCAAGGAUAAGAAAUACAAAAAUGUUGGGUGAUAAGUAGUUUGAGAAAAAACUUAGGAAGUUCACACAGUGGGGAAUAGUUUGUGUCACUUUAGUCAUAAUGAAAGGCCUUAUCAUAUAUAGGCAUCAAACAGUCUUCAAAAGAAUAUUGCCUUAGUACUGGGGCUACAUUGACUCUAAACCAAAAGCUGCUCUGACCUGCCCUAACAAAGUUCAAAACAAAGACUUGAAAGAAUGCAACUAAUCCCAACUAACUUGACUUUAUGCCAGAACAAAAUCCAACAUGAUUUAAAGAAAAACAACCAAAUUCAGCAAACAGCAAUAAAAAUUUCACAAUGCUUGGUAUCCAAUCAAGUAUAAUUAGUUUUGCAAAGUAGGAAAAUUUAUCCAAAACCAAGAAAAAAUUAAUAAAAGCAGAUUUUAAAAGAUCAGAGCUGAUAAAAUUAGGAGACAGAGACAUUGAGACAGCCAGGCUAAGUAUAUCCAAUGUGUUUAAGAAAAUAGAUGAAUAUAUAAGAAUCAAGAGAAAAGAAAUGGUAGAUUUUUUUAGAUGAUAUUAAAAGUAGAUUUGACACUGUAAAAUAAAUAAUCAAUGAACUUAAAAAUAUAAAAAUAAAUAAAGUGCAGAGAGAAAAAAUAAAAAUAAAGAUCAGAGUAUCCAUGUCCUGAGAGAAUAUCAAAUAGUCUAACAUUUGUGUAAUUGGUGUCCUAGAAGGGUAAUGUGCAGAAAAAGACACUAAUAAAAUAAAAUAAAUCACUAACAUUUUCCAAAUUUGGUGAAAACUAUAAAAUUUCCUGUACUGGGUUGAAUAGUGUGUCUCCCUCCCAAACUCAAGAAACACACACACCAAAUUCAUGUCCAUCCAGAACCUGUGACAGUGACCUUAGCUCGAAAUAGGGUUUUUGUAGAUGUAAUCAAGUUAAGAAGAGUUAAUGCUAAACUAAGAUGUACCCUAAUCUAGUGACUUGUGUCCUUGUAAAAACAGGAAAAUUUGUGCACAGAAAUAUGUGAAGAGGUCAUGUGAAGACAUAAACAGAUAUUGGAGUAAGGUAUCUACAAGCCAAGGAACACUAAAAAUUACUAGCAACCACCAGAACCAAGAAGAGACAAGGAAGGAGUCUUCCCUAGACCCUUCAGAGGGAGCAUGGCCCUGCCAAAAUCUUGAUUUCAGACUU